RNAcentral lists this ribosomal RNA (441 nucleotides) under uncultured bacterium. Its description in RNAcentral is "partial 16S ribosomal RNA". It matches the Rfam family "Bacterial small subunit ribosomal RNA", at positions 338 to 795 of the family's 1533-position model. The record is from RNAcentral.
CCUACGGGAGGCAGCAGUGGGGGAUAUUGCACAAUGGGGGGAACCCUGAUGCAGCGACGCCGCGUGGGUGAAGGAGCGUUUCGGCUCGUAAAGCCCUAUCGGCAGGGAAGAAGGAGGACGGUACCUGACUAAGAAGCCCCGGUUAACUACGUGCCAGCAGCCGCGGGAAUACGGAGGGGGCAAGCGUUAUCAGGCUUUACUGGGGGGAAAGGGGGCGCAGACGGCAGCGCAAGCCAGGAGUGAAAGCCCGGGGCCCAACCCCGGGACUGCUCUUGGAACUGCGCGGCUGGAGUGCAGGAGGGGCAGGCGGAAUUCCUGGUGUAGCGGUGAAAUGCGUAGAUAUCAGGAGGAACACCGGUGGCGAAGGCGGCCUGCUGGACUGCGACUGACGUUGAGGCCCGAAAGCGUGGGGAGCAAACAGGAUUAGAUACCCGUGUAGUC